This is a long non-coding RNA of Mercurialis annua (annual mercury), 631 nucleotides long. RefSeq lists it as uncharacterized. Lineage: Eukaryota; Viridiplantae; Streptophyta; Magnoliopsida; Malpighiales; Euphorbiaceae. The transcript has 2 exons. The record is from RefSeq and is a predicted model, not a curated record.
UUGUGGAUGAUUGUUUAUUGUCAAAAAAUCUUGCCAUUUCAUUUAUUAAAAAGAAUACGAGAGUUGUUUAUUUUUGUCUGAAAACAGUACUGUUUAUUUUCUGUCAGGAAACAGCAGUGCAAUUGGAGGUAAGUAAGUAUAUUAAACAGAUUCAGUUUUCCAUUUUGAAGUAAAUAAAGAAGAUAACGAGGAGAAGGAUUUUACGGCAUGCUGCGGGAGUAGUAGAUUUGCUAAAGAAGAAGCCAUUGCUGCCACCAGAAAUAAUUGGUUCAACAAGGUUUGCCAUUGCUGCCGCCAGAAAUAUCUGGUUCAACAAGGUUGAUGCGUAUGGGUUGGCUGGAGGCAUUCUCAACUCAUCCUCAGAUCGGGCUUCUCAUGUUGCUGCUCAGUUCAGUAAGGGAGAGCAUUCGACUGCUUUAACCAACUACUACGUCUACGGGUUCCAGAUUACAGGUUAAAUUAGACUCAUCUAGUUCUUAACUAAUGAUAGGAAGCAUAAAGAUAGCAUAACAGAGAAACUGAGGUGGCAUGUAAUGAAAGCAAGCAAAGAAGAGGAAAAACAAGAUGUACUGAACGAUUUCCUAAAAUAUUUUCAGGCUGAAUGUAAAACCUUCGGAAGCAUAUGUGAAAA